UCCGUAGGUGAACCUGCGGAAGGAUCAUUAACGAGUUUUGAAACGGGUUGUUGCUGGCCUUCCGAGGCAUGUGCACGCCCUGCUCAUCCACUCUACACCUGUGCACUUACUGUAGGUUGGCGUGGGUUUCUAGCCUCCGGGUUGGAAGCAUUCUGCCGGCCUAUGUACACUACAAACUCUUAAAGUAUCAGAAUGUAAACGCGUCUAACGCAUCUUAAUACAACUUUCAGCAACGGAUCUCUUGGCUCUCGCAUCGAUGAGGAACGCAGCGAAAUGCGAUAAGUAAUGUGAAUUGCAGAAUUCAGUGAAUCAUCGAAUCUUUGAACGCACCUUGCGCUCCUUGGUAUUCCGAGGAGCAUGCCUGUUUGAGUGUCAUGAAAUUCUCAACCCAUAAAUCCUUGUGAUCUAUGGGCUUGGAUUUGGAGGCUUGCUGGCCCUAGCGGUCGGCUCCUCUUGAAUGCAUUAGCUUGAUUCCGUGCGGAUCGGCUCUCAGUGUGAUAAUUGUGUACGCUGUGACCGUGAAGCGUUUUGGCAAGCUUCUAACCGUCCAUUAGGACAAUUUUAUAACAUCUGACCUCAAAUCAGGUAGGACUACCCGCUGAACUUAAGCAUAUCAAUAAGCGGAGGA
RNAcentral lists this ribosomal RNA (628 nucleotides) under Trametes sp. 1522. RNAcentral's name for it is "eukaryotic LSU rRNA". The stretch from base 222 to 375 matches the Rfam family "5.8S ribosomal RNA". Lineage: Eukaryota; Fungi; Basidiomycota; Agaricomycetes; Polyporales; Polyporaceae. The record is from RNAcentral.